GUCUACAGCCAUACCACCCUGAAUGCGCCCUAUCUCAUCUGAUCUCGGAAGCUAAGUAGUACUUGGAUAGGAGAAUUACCUUUGACAUGUUUUAUUACAUAUCCAUUUUGCUAUCAAAU
RNAcentral lists this ribosomal RNA (119 nucleotides) under Fukomys damarensis (Damara mole-rat). Lineage: Eukaryota; Metazoa; Chordata; Mammalia; Rodentia; Bathyergidae. The record is from RNAcentral.